AAUGGGUCAGCGACUUAUAUUCUGUAGCAAGGUUAACCGAAUAGGGGAGCCGGAGGGAAACCGAGUCUUAAUUGGGCGUUAAGUUGCAGGGUAUAGACCCGAAACCCGGUGAUCUAGCCAUGGGCAGGUUGAAGGUUGGGUAACACUAACUGGAGGACCGAACCGACUAAUGUUGAAAAAUUAGCGGAUGACCUGUGGCUGGGGGUGAAAGGCCAAUCAAACCGGGAGAUAGCUGGUUCUCCCCGAAAGCUAUUUAGGUAGCGCCUCGUGAAUUCAUCUCCGGGGGUAGAGCACUGUUUCGGCUAGGGGGCCAUCCCGGCUUACCAACCCGAUGCAAACUGCGAAUACCGGAGAAUGUUAUCACGGGAGACACACGGCGGGUGCUAACGUCCGUCGUGAAGAGGGAAACAACCCAGACCGCCAGCUAAGGUCCCAAAGUCAUGGUUAAGUGGGAAACGAUGUGGGAAGGCCCAGACAGCCAGGAUGUUGGCUUAGAAGCAGCCAUCAUUUAAAGAAAGCGUAAUAGCUCACUGGUCGAGUCGGCCUGCGCGGAAGAUGUAACGGGGCUAAACCAUGCACCGAAGCUGCGGCAGCGACACUGUGUGUUGUUGGGUAGGGGAGCGUUCUGUAAGCCUGCGAAGGUGGCCUGUGAGGGUUGCUGGAGGUAUCAGAAGUGCGAAUGCUGACAUAAGUAACGAUAAAGCGGGUGAAAAGCCCGCUCGCCGGAAGACCAAGGGUUCCUGUCCAACGUUAAUCGGGGCAGGGUGAGUCGACCCCUAAGGCGAGGCCGAAAGGCGUAGUCGAUGGGAAACGGGUUAAUAUUCCCGUACUUGGUGUUACUGCGAAGGGGGGACGGAGAAGGCUAUGUUGGCCGGGCGACGGUUGUCCCGGUUUAAGCGUGUAGGUGUGUGUUCCAGGUAAAUCCGGUUCACUUUAACACUGAGGCGUGACGACGAGGCACUACGGUGCUGAAGCAACAAAUGCCCUGCUUCCAGGAAAAGCCUCUAAGCAUCAGGUAACAUCAAAUCGUACCCCAAACCGACACAGGUGGUCAGGUAGAGAAUACCAAGGCGCUUGAGAGAACUCGGGUGAAGGAACUAGGCAAAAUGGUGCCGUAACUUCGGGAGAAGGCACGCUGACACGUAGGUGAAGUGAUUUACUCAUGGAGCUGAAGUCAGUCGAAGAUACCAGCUGGCUGCAACUGUUUAUUAAAAACACAGCACUGUGCAAACACGAAAGUGGACGUAUACGGUGUGACGCCUGCCCGGUGCCGGAAGGUUAAUUGAUGGGGUCAGCGCAAGCGAAGCUCCUGAUCGAAGCCCCGGUAAACGGCGGCCGUAACUAUAACGGUCCUAAGGUAGCGAAAUUCCUUGUCGGGUAAGUUCCGACCUGCACGAAUGGCGUAAUGAUGGCCAGGCUGUCUCCACCCGAGACUCAGUGAAAUUGAACUCGCUGUGAAGAUGCAGUGUACCCGCGGCAAGACGGAAAGACCCCGUGAACCUUUACUAUAGCUUGACACUGAACAUUGAGCCUUGAUGUGUAGGAUAGGUGGGAGGCUUUGAAGUGUGGACGCCAGUCUGCAUGGAGCCGACCUUGAAAUACCACCCUUUAAUGUUUGAUGUUCUAACGUGGACCCGUUACCCGGGUUGCGGACAGUGUCUGGUGGGUAGUUUGACUGGGGCGGUCUCCUCCUAAAGAGUAACGGAGGAGCACGAAGGUUGGCUAAUCCUGGUCGGACAUCAGGAGGUUAGUGCAAUGGCAUAAGCCAGCUUGACUGCGAGCGUGACGGCGCGAGCAGGUGCGAAAGCAGGUCAUAGUGAUCCGGUGGUUCUGAAUGGAAGGGCCAUCGCUCAACGGAUAAAAGGUACUCCGGGGAUAACAGGCUGAUACCGCCCAAGAGUUCAUAUCGACGGCGGUGUUUGGCACCUCGAUGUCGGCUCAUCACAUCCUGGGGCUGAAGUAGGUCCCAAGGGUAUGGCUGUUCGCCAUUUAAAGUGGUACGCGAGCUGGGUUUAGAACGUCGUGAGACAGUUCGGUCCCUAUCUGCCGUGGGCGCUGGAGAACUGAGGGGGGCUGCUCCUAGUACGAGAGGACCGGAGUGGACGCAUCACUGGUGUUCGGGUUGUCAUGCCAAUGGCACUGCCCGGUAGCUAAAUGCGGAAGAGAUAAGUGCUGAAAGCAUCUAAGCACGAAACUUGCCCCGAG
Molecule: ribosomal RNA, 2205 nt
Filed under: Salmonella enterica subsp. enterica serovar Enteritidis
Lineage: Bacteria; Pseudomonadati; Pseudomonadota; Gammaproteobacteria; Enterobacterales; Enterobacteriaceae
Description: partial 23S ribosomal RNA
Rfam family: Bacterial large subunit ribosomal RNA
Source: RNAcentral